CNGCCCGNAAUAGCCAGCAUGNUCUAGUACAUGCCGUAUUAAGGCGAAACCGCGAAUGGCUCAUUAAAUCAGUUAUGGUUCCUUGGAUCGUACUUUACUACUUGGAUAACUGUGGCAAUUCUAGAGCUAAUACAUGCAGCAGAGCUCCGACCUUCGGGGACGAGCGCUUUUAUUAGACCAAAACCAAUCGGACCUCGUGUCCGUCUCUUGUGGUGACUCUGUAUAACUUUGGGCUGAUCGCACGGGCCCGUCCCGGCGACGUAUCUUUCAAGUGUCUGCCUUAUCAACUUUCGAUGGUAGGUUACGCGCCUACCAUGGUCAUAACGGGUAACGGGGAAUCAGGGUUCGAUUCCGGAGAGGGAGCCUGAGAAACGGCUACCACAUCCAAGGAAGGCAGCAGGCGCGCAAAUUACCCACUCCCAGAACGGGGAGGUAGUGACGAAAAAUAACAAUACGGGACUCUUUUGAGACCCCGUAAUUGGAAUGAGUACACUCUAAAUCCUUUAACGAGGAUCCAUUCGAGGGCAAGUCUGGUGCCAGCCGCCGCGGUAAUUCCAGCUCGAAUAGCGUAUAUUAAAGUUGUUGCGGUUAAAAAGCUCGUAGUUGGAUCUCAGUUCCAGACGGGUGGUCCGCCAAACGGUGGUUACUGCCCGUUCUGAACAGCCAGCCGGUUUCUCUUGAUGAUCUUCACCGGUUGUCUCGGGUGACCGGCAAGUUUACUUUGAAAAAAUUAGAGUGCUCAAAGCAGGCGCGACGCCUGAAUAAUGGUGCAUGGAAUAAUGGAAUAGGACCUCGGUUCUAUUUUGUUGGUUUUCGGAACACGAGGUAAUGAUUAAGAGGGACAGACGGGGGCAUUCGUAUUGCGACGCUAGAGGUGAAAUUCUUGGACCGUCGCAAGACGAACUAUGCAAGANUUUUUUUUNCNGGANANAA
Molecule: ribosomal RNA, 933 nt
Filed under: Piratula procurva
Lineage: Eukaryota; Metazoa; Arthropoda; Arachnida; Araneae; Lycosidae
Description: SSU rRNA
Rfam family: Eukaryotic small subunit ribosomal RNA
Source: RNAcentral